RNAcentral lists this transfer RNA (74 nucleotides) under Nanobdellati archaeon. RNAcentral describes it as "DPANN group archaeon (hydrothermal vent metagenome) tRNA-Gly". It matches the Rfam family "tRNA". Rfam says of the family: Transfer RNA (tRNA) molecules are approximately 80 nucleotides in length. Their secondary structure includes four short double-helical elements and three loops (D, anti-codon, and T loops). Lineage: Archaea; Nanobdellati. The record is from RNAcentral.
GCGACGGUAGUCUAAUCUGGCUAGGACACUACCCUGCCACGGUGGAGAUCCGGGUUCGAAUCCCGGCCGUCGCA